AAAGAACCUGGCCUCCCCAUUUUGUAGCUCAGGAUAUUACUGUAGCUUAAGGACGGAGAAAUGGGAGCGGGGGGUACGAAACCAGAAAAUUUGGCUCCCCUGAAACUAAGGGACAGUUUUGAGACUAAUACGUAUCCAGCCCUUUGGUGGCAUGCUAGGAGCUUGGAUUACGCUGAUGAAUCACACAGCUGUAGCCCCUGCCUCAGGCCAGAGCUAAGCCUUGGAAGAUACCUGAAAGAUAGCCAGAAAGACGGGAGUCGGAAAAGCCGUCCAGAUGGAGGGAACAGCGUACGCAGAGCCAGGAAGCGUGAAGCAGCACUUUGCGGGUGCGGGGGAGCUUUGCUGCAAGUCCAUUUGUUAACCUUGGAACGGGGUGAAGUGAACAUAACGCUGCAGUGGGCUUCUUUGUAACACAACAAAGACCCUGUACUUGACCCAGGAGCACUGAUGACUGCUUCAAAAACUGUGCUAAGCAUCUUCACAGACCUGUGUGCAGACAGGAGCAGAUCCAGAGCUGCCCGGAGGGGUAAUGUACUCCCAGGUUACCAGCUCAACAAAAGUGAGGAAAAGCGAGCUCCGACUGGAGACUGAUACUGAGAGUUGUGUCCUAAGUGAGCAACCCACUGACAUUCAGCCUCCAGUGACUGCGAUGAAACCCGGG
This 661-nucleotide long non-coding RNA is filed under the name Equus caballus (horse). RNAcentral describes it as "lncRNA (ENSECAG00000042666.2)". The record is from RNAcentral. Lineage: Eukaryota; Metazoa; Chordata; Mammalia; Perissodactyla; Equidae.